AGUGAACGCUGGCGGUAGGCCUAACACAUGCAAGUCGAGCGGCAGCACAGUAAGAGCUUGCUCUUACGGGUGGCGAGUGGCGGACGGGUGAGGAAUACAUCGGAAUCUACUUUUUCGUGGGGGAUAACGUAGGGAAACUUACGCUAAUACCGCAUACGACCUACGGGUGAAAGCAGUGGAUCUUCGGACCUUGCGCGAUUGAAUGAGCCGAUGUCGGAUUAGCUAGUUGGCGGGGUAAAGGCCCACCAAGUCGCCGAUCCGUAGCUGGUCUGAGAGGAUGAUCGGCCACACUGGAACUGAGACACGGUCCAGACGCCUACGGGAGGCAGCAGUGGGGAAUGUUGGGCAAUGGGCGCAAGCCUGAUCCAGCCAUACCGCGUGGGUGAAGAAGGCCUUCGGGUUGUAAAGCCCUUUUGUUGGGAAAGAAAAGCAGCAGGUUAAUACCCCGCUGUUCUGACGGUACCCAAAGAAUAAGCACCGGCUAACUUCGUG
RNAcentral lists this ribosomal RNA (492 nucleotides) under uncultured bacterium. RNAcentral's name for it is "partial 16S ribosomal RNA". It matches the Rfam family "Bacterial small subunit ribosomal RNA", at positions 29 to 507 of the family's 1533-position model. The record is from RNAcentral.